UUCCGGUUGAUCCUGCCGGACCUGACUGCUAUCGGAUUGAUACUAAGCCAUGCGAGUCAUUGUAGCAAUACAAGGCAGACGGCUCAGUAACGCGUAGUCAACCUAACCUAUGGAUGGGAAUAACCUCGGGAAACUGAGAAUAAUGCCCAAUAGAACACUAUACCUGGAAUGGUUUGUGUUCCAAAUGAUUUAUCGCCGUAGGAUGGGACUGCGGCCUAUCAGUUUGUUGGUGAGGUAAUGGCCCACCAAGACUAUUACAGGUACGGGCUCUGAGAGGAGUAGCCCGGAGAUGGGUACUGAGACACGGACCCAGGCCCUAUGGGGCGCAGCAGGCGAGAAAACUUUGCAAUGUGCGAAAGCACGACAAGGUUAAUCCGAGUGAUUUGUGCUAAACGAAUCUUUUGUUAGUCCUAGAAACACUAACGAAUAAGGGGUGGGCAAGUUCUGGUGUCAGCCGCCGCGGUAAAACCAGCACCUCAAGUGGUCAGGAUGAUUAUUGGGCCUAAAGCAUCCGUAGCCGGCUCUGUAAGUUUUCGGUUAAAUCUGUAUGCUCAACAUACAGGCUGCCGGGAAUACUGCAGAGCUAGGGAGUGGGAGAGGUAGACGGUACUCGGUAGGAAGGGGUAAAAUCCUUUGAUCUAUUGAUGACCACCUGUGGCGAAGGCGGUCUACCAGAACACGUCCGACGGUGAGGGAUGAAAGCUGGGGGAGCAAACCGGAUUAGAUACCCGGGUAGUCCCAGCUGUAAACUAUGCAAACUCAGUGAUGCAUUGGCUUGUGGCCAAUGCAGUGCUGCAGGGAAGCCGUUAAGUUUGCCGCCUGGGAAGUACGUACGCAAGUAUGAAACUUAAGGAAUUGGCGGGGGAGCACCACAAGGGGUGAAGCCUGCGGUUCAAUUGAUUCAACGCCGGA
RNAcentral lists this ribosomal RNA (912 nucleotides) under uncultured archaeon. Its description in RNAcentral is "bacterial SSU rRNA". It matches the Rfam family "Archaeal small subunit ribosomal RNA", at positions 1 to 922 of the family's 1478-position model. The record is from RNAcentral.